UGGGGAAUAUUGNACAAUGGGGGGCAAGCCUGAUCCAGCAAUNCCGCGUGUGUGAAGAAGGCUUGAGGGUUGUAAAGCACUUUCAAUUGUGAAGAAAAGNUNNNNNUUAAUACCCGUUNACCUUGACGUUACCUAUACAAGAAGCACCGGCUAAUUCCGUGCCAGCAGCCGCGGUAAUACGGGGGGUGCAAGCGUUAAUCGGAAUUACUGGGCGUAAAGCGUGCGUAGGCGGUUUAUUAAGUCGNAUGUGAAAUCCCCGGGCUCAACCUGGGAACUGCAUUUGAAACUAUUNAACUAGAGUAUGGGAGAGGAAAGUGGAAUUUCUGGUGUAGCGGUGAAAUGCGUAGAUAUCGGAAGGAACACCANUGGCGAAGGCGGCUUUCUGGACCAAUACUGACGCUGAGGUUCGAAAGCGUGGGNAGCAAACAGGAUUAGAUACCCUGGUAGUCCACGCCGUAAACGAUGAUAACUAGCNGUUGGGGGGAUUUCCCCUCAGUGUCGCAGCUAACGCAUUAAGUNUCCGCCUG
This 527-nucleotide ribosomal RNA is filed under the name uncultured bacterium. RNAcentral describes it as "partial 16S ribosomal RNA". It matches the Rfam family "Bacterial small subunit ribosomal RNA", at positions 355 to 875 of the family's 1533-position model. The record is from RNAcentral.